AGUNNAAGCCCUAUUACCUGGCUACACACGUGCUACAAUGGACGGUACAACGAGAAGCGACCCUGUGAAGGCAAGCGGAUCUCUGAAAGCCGUUCUCAGUUCGGAUUGCAGGCUGCAACUCGCCUGCAUGAAGCUGGAAUCGCUAGUAAUCGCAAAUCAGCACGUUGCGGUGAAUACGUUUCCGGGGCCUUGUACACACCGCCCGUCACACCAUGAGAGUCUGUUACCGCCCGAAGCCGGCGGGAUAACCGAAAGGAGUCAGCCGUCUAAAGCGGGACAGAUGAUUUGGGUGAAGUCGUAACAAGGUAGUCCUUGGACGAA
This 321-nucleotide ribosomal RNA is filed under the name uncultured bacterium. RNAcentral's name for it is "bacterial SSU rRNA". It matches the Rfam family "Bacterial small subunit ribosomal RNA", at positions 1192 to 1510 of the family's 1533-position model. The record is from RNAcentral.